GUACUGCUGAAGAGUCCCAAACACUAGGACGAAACAGCUGUUGAGUAC
RNAcentral lists this non-coding RNA (48 nucleotides) under Trichobilharzia regenti. Lineage: Eukaryota; Metazoa; Platyhelminthes; Trematoda; Strigeidida; Schistosomatidae. The record is from RNAcentral.